RNAcentral lists this transfer RNA (76 nucleotides) under Candidatus Poseidoniales archaeon. Its description in RNAcentral is "tRNA-Met". It matches the Rfam family "tRNA". From Rfam's summary of the family: Transfer RNA (tRNA) molecules are approximately 80 nucleotides in length. Their secondary structure includes four short double-helical elements and three loops (D, anti-codon, and T loops). Lineage: Archaea; Methanobacteriati; Thermoplasmatota; Candidatus Poseidoniia; Candidatus Poseidoniales. The record is from RNAcentral.
GCCGGGGUGGCGUAGUUGGUAGCGCGUCGGACUCAUAAUCCGAAGGUCGCGGGUUCGAGUCCCGCUCCCGGCACCA